This is a non-coding RNA of Procambarus clarkii (red swamp crayfish), 381 nucleotides long. Lineage: Eukaryota; Metazoa; Arthropoda; Malacostraca; Decapoda; Cambaridae. The record is from RefSeq and is a predicted model, not a curated record.
CGAAUGACCAGGCCCUGAUGAUGUCACAGUGCACCUUGUCCACAUCCCCACAGCCAAAAUGGCCGGUCUAGUGCAGAACUACUGCUUCCUCCACUACUCCCUCUGCUAGUGCUAGAGCUACUGCUGCUGCUGCUGCUGCUGAUACUACUGCUCCCACUAAGUCUACUACUACUUCGGCCAUAUGGAGGAGCUCGCGGAACUUCAGGGUUAUAAAUCCAUGGAACCGCCUACCCGCCGACGCCGUAAAUGCCAAAAUCUGCAGAAUUGUAAAAAAUCAGCUUGAAAAAAGUAAUCAGAACAAAUUGGGGAACCUUUGACAAGCUGCCGGAUUCCUGUCCUCGUCGAGGCCACUACAAAUACAAAUACAAAAUACAAAUAUUU